This 393-nucleotide ribosomal RNA is filed under the name uncultured bacterium. Its description in RNAcentral is "partial 16S ribosomal RNA". It matches the Rfam family "Bacterial small subunit ribosomal RNA", at positions 523 to 918 of the family's 1533-position model. The record is from RNAcentral.
AUACGGAGGAUCCGAGCGUUAUCCGGAUUUAUUGGGUUUAAAGGGUGCGUAGGCGGCCUUUUAAGUCAGCGGUGAAAGUCUGUGGCUCAACCAUGGAAUUGCCGUUGAAACUGGGGGGCUUGAGUAUGUUUGAGGCAGGCGGAAUUCGAUGUGUCGCGGUGAAAUGCAUGGAUAUAUCGAAGAACCCCGAUUGCGAAGGCAGCCUGCCAAGCCAUGACUGACGCUGAUGCACGAAAGCGUGGGGAUCAAACAGGAUUAGAUACCCUGGUAGUCCACGCAGUAAACGAUGAUCACUAGCUGUUUGCGAUACACUGUAAGCGGCACAGCGAAAGCGUUAAGUGAUCCACCUGGGGAGUACGCCGGCAACGGUGAAACUCAAAUGAAUUGACGGGG